RNAcentral lists this ribosomal RNA (292 nucleotides) under uncultured bacterium. Its description in RNAcentral is "partial 16S ribosomal RNA". It matches the Rfam family "Bacterial small subunit ribosomal RNA", at positions 775 to 1067 of the family's 1533-position model. The record is from RNAcentral.
GGAUUAGAUACCCUGGUAGUCCACGCCGUAAACGAUGUCAACUAGCCGUUGGAGUCUUGAGACUUCGGUGGCGCAGCUAACGCGUGAAGUUGACCGCCUGGGGACUACGGCCGCAAGGCUAAAACUCAAAUGAAUUGACGGGGGCCCGCACAAGCGGUGGAGCAUGUGGUUUAAUUCGAUGCAACGCGAAGAACCUUACCACCCCUUGACAUACAGAGAACUUUCCAGAGAUGGAUUGGUGCCUUCGGGAACUCUGAUACAGGUGCUGCAUGGCUGUCGUCAGCUCGUGCCG